Long non-coding RNA from Oncorhynchus keta (chum salmon), 361 nucleotides. RefSeq lists it as uncharacterized. Lineage: Eukaryota; Metazoa; Chordata; Actinopteri; Salmoniformes; Salmonidae. The transcript has 4 exons. The record is from RefSeq and is a predicted model, not a curated record.
ACUCACACCACCAACGCAUAGGUACUCACACCACCAACGCAUAGGUACUCACACCACCAACACAUAGGUACUCACACCACCAACGCAUAGGUACUCACACCACCAACGCAUAGGUACUCACACCACCAACGCAUAGGUACUCACACCACCAACGCAUAGGUACUCACACCACCAACGCAUAGGUACUCACACCACCAACGCAUAGGUACUCACACCACCAACGCAUAGGUACUCACACCACCAACGCAUAGGUACUCACACCACCAACGCAUAGGUACUCACACCACCAACGCAUAGGUACUCACACCACCAACCCAUAGGUACUCACACCACCAACGGAUAGGUACUCACACCACCAACG